GCGCCAGGUGGCGAAGCACUAUCGCGAAGCGCUGGCGGCGUUGCCGGUGACCUUCCAGGCGGUCGCCGGCGCG
This 73-nucleotide transfer RNA is filed under the name Pseudomonas aeruginosa. RNAcentral's name for it is "tRNA-Ala(ggc)". The record is from RNAcentral. Lineage: Bacteria; Pseudomonadati; Pseudomonadota; Gammaproteobacteria; Pseudomonadales; Pseudomonadaceae.